RNAcentral lists this ribosomal RNA (2100 nucleotides) under Protophormia terraenovae (northern blowfly). RNAcentral's name for it is "eukaryotic LSU rRNA". It matches the Rfam family "Eukaryotic large subunit ribosomal RNA", at positions 65 to 1870 of the family's 3401-position model. Lineage: Eukaryota; Metazoa; Arthropoda; Insecta; Diptera; Calliphoridae. The record is from RNAcentral.
CUAACAAGGAUUUUCUUAGUAGCGGCGAGCGAAAAGAAAAUAGUUCAGCACUAAGUCACUUUGUCUUAAUGGCAAAUGUGAGAUGCAGUGUAUGGAAUGUCAAAUUUCUAGUAUGAGAAAUUAACGAUUUAAGUCCUUCUUAAAUGAGGCCAUUUACCCAAAGAGGGUGCCAGGCCCGUAUAACGUUAAUGAUUACUAGAUGGCAUUUCCAAAGAGUCGUGUUGCUUGAUAGUGCAGCACUAAGUGGGUGGUAAACUCCAUCUAAAACUAAAUAUAACCAUGAGACCGAUAGUAAACAAGUACCGUGAGGGAAAGUUGAAAAGAACUCUGAAUAGAGAGUUAAAUAGUACGUGAAACUGCUUAGAGGUUAAGCCCGAUGAACCUGAAUAUCCGUUAUAGAAAAUUCAUCAUUAUGAUUUUAAUAUUUAUAAUAUUAUAAUAAUGGUGUGCAUUUUUUCUAUAAAGGACAUUGUAAUCUAUUAACAUAAAUAUAUUUAUCAUAAGAUCAAGAGCUUAAGUUUAUUCAAAUUAUUUUGCUUGCAAUUUAACAUAGAAUAAAUGCUUUUGAUUUGAUAAAGUGUUGAUAGAUUUAUUAUAUAUAGUGCUUAAAUAUUUAUAUUUUAUAAUAGCAUAUUAAUCAUUGAUUUUUAUGUUUAUUAUAUGCACUUAUAUGAUUAACAAUGCGAAAGAUUCAGGAUACCUUCGGGACCCGUCUUGAAACACGGACCAAGGAGUCUAACAUAUUUGCAAGUUAUUGGGAAUAAAAACCUAAUAGCGUAAUUAACAUAACUUAUAUAAUGGGAUUAGUUUUUAGCCUAUUUAUAGUCUAUUAAUACAAUCCCGGGGCGUUCUAUCAGUUAUGUAUAAUAAUAUUUAUAUUAUUUAUACCUCUAACUAGAGCGUACCUUGAGCAUAUAUGCUGUGACCCGAAAGAUGGUGAACUAUACUUGAUCAGGUUGAAGUCAGGGGAAACCCUGAUGGAAGACCGAAACAGUUCUGACGUGCAAAUCGAUUGUCAGAAUUGAGUAUAGGGGCGAAAGACCAAUCGAACCAUCUAGUAGCUGGUUCCCUCCGAAGUUUCCCUCAGGAUAGCUGGUGCAUUUAAAAAUUAUGUAAAAUAAUCUUAUCUGGUAAAGCGAAUGAUUAGAGGCCUUAGGGUCGAAACGACCUUAACCUAUUCUCAAACUUUAAAUGGGUAAGAACCUCACCUUUCUUGGUAUGAAGGUUGUGGUUGUGAUAUAAUGUGCCCAGUGGGCCACUUUUGGUAAGCAGAACUGGCGCUGUGGGAUGAACCAAACGUAAUGUUACGGUGCCCAAAUUAACAACUCAUGCAGAUACCAUGAAAGGCGUUGGUUGCUUAAAACAGCAGGACGGUGGACAUGGAAGUCGUAAUCCGCUAAGGAGUGUGUAACAACUCACCUGCCGAAGCAACUAGCCCUUAAAAUGGAUGGCGCUUAAGUUGUAUACCUAUACAUUACCGCUAAAGUAGAUGGUUUAUGUUCAAUUUCGGUUGGAUUAUAAACUUUGAAACUUUAGUGAGUAGGAGGGUACAAUGGUGAGCAUAGAAGUGUUUGGCGUAAGCCUGCAUGGAGCUGCCAUUGGUACAGAUCUUGGUGGUAGUAGCAAAUAAUCGAAUGAGACCUUGGAGGACUGAAGUGGAGAAGGGUUUCGUGUGAACAGUGGUUGAUCACGAGUUAGUCGGUCCUAAGUUCAAGGCGAAAGCCGAAAAUUUUCAAGUUAUAAUGAAAAGUAAGUAAUAUUACUUAGUAAUUAAACACUUGAAUAAUUUUGAACGAAAGGGAAUACGGUUCCAAUUCCGUAACCUGUUGAGUAUCCGUUUGUUAUUAAAUAUGGGCCUUGUGCUCAUCCUGGCAACAGGAACGACCAUAAAGAAGCCGUCGAGAGAUAUCGGAAGAGUUUUCUUUUCUGUUUUAUAGUCGUACUACCAUGGAAGUCUUUCGAAGAGAGAUAUGGUAGAUGGACUAGAAGAGCAUGACAUUUACUGUUGUGUCGAUAUUUUCUCCUCGGACCUUGAAAAUUUAUGGUGGGGUCACGCAAACUUCUCAACAGGCCGUACCAAUAUCCGCAGCUGGUCUCCAA